CCUACGGGUGGCAGCAGUGGGGGAUAUUGCACAAUGGGGGAAACCCUGAUGCAGCGACGCCGCGUGGGUGAAGAAGCGCCUCGGCGCGUAAAGCCCUGUCAGCAGGGAAGAAAAUGACGGUACCUGAAGAAGAAGCCCCGGCUAACUACGUGACACCAGACGCGGUAAUACGGGAGGGGCAAGCGUUAUCCGGAUUUACUGGGGGUAAAGGGGGGGCAGGCGGCGUUGCAAGCCAGGCGUGAGAGCCCGGGGCGCAACCCCGGGACUGCUGUUGGAACUGGGUGGCUAGAGUGGAGGAGGGGCAUGCGGAAUGCCUGGUGGAGCGGUGAAAUGCGUAGAUAUCAGGAGGAACACCGGUGGCGAAGGCAGCCUGCUGGACUGCAACUGACGUUGAGGCCCGAAAGCGUGGGGAGCAAACAGGAUUAGAUACCCCGGUAGUC
RNAcentral lists this ribosomal RNA (440 nucleotides) under uncultured bacterium. RNAcentral's name for it is "partial 16S ribosomal RNA". It matches the Rfam family "Bacterial small subunit ribosomal RNA", at positions 338 to 795 of the family's 1533-position model. The record is from RNAcentral.